GACGAACGCUGGCGGCGUGCCUAAUACAUGCAGGUAGAACGCUGAAGGAGGAGCUUGCUCUUCUGGAUGAGUUGCGAACGGGUGAGUAACGCGUAGGUAACCUGCCUGGUAGCGGGGGAUAACUAUUGGAAACGAUAGCUAAUACCGCAUAACAGUAGAUGUUGCAUGACAUUUACUUAAAAGGUGCAAUUGCAUCACUACCAGAUGGACCUGCGUUGUAUUAGCUAGUUGGUGGGGUAACGGCUCACCAAGGCGACGAUACAUAGCCGACCUGAGAGGGGGCGCGGCCACGCUGGGACUGGGACACGGCCCAGACUCCUACGGGAGGCAGCAGUCGGGAAUCUUCGGCGAUGGACGGAAGUCUGACCGAGCAACGCCGCGUGAGUGAAGAAGGUUUUCGGGUCGUAAAGCUCUGUUGUAAGAGAAGAACGAGUGUGAGAGUGGAAAGUUCACACUGUGACGGUAUCUUACCAGAAAGGGACGGCUAACUACGUG
Molecule: ribosomal RNA, 495 nt
Filed under: uncultured bacterium
Lineage: Bacteria
Description: partial 16S ribosomal RNA
Rfam family: Bacterial small subunit ribosomal RNA
Source: RNAcentral